Rhinolophus ferrumequinum (greater horseshoe bat) is the source of this 390-nucleotide non-coding RNA. The record is from the annotation of a RefSeq genome assembly. Lineage: Eukaryota; Metazoa; Chordata; Mammalia; Chiroptera; Rhinolophidae.
AUGGCACUGCUGGGUCUUCUCCUGUGCCUGGUGACAGCCCCCCAAGGUGUCCUGUCCCAGGUGCAGCUGCAGGAGUUGGGCCCAGGACUGGUGCAACCCUCGCAGACCCUGUCCUUCACCUGCGCUGUCUCUGGAUUCUCCAUCACCAGUGGUUACUGCUGGCACAGGAUCCGACAGCCCCCGGGGAAGGGACUGGAGUGGAUCGGGCGCAUAUGCUAUAAUGGGAACACAUACUACAGCCCGUCCCUCAAGAGCCGCUCCUCCAUCUCCAGAGACACGUCCAAGAACCAGUUCUCCCUGCAGCUGAGCUCUGUGACCACCGAGGACACGGCCGUGUAUUACUGUGCGAGGGACACAGUGAGGGGAAGUCAGUGUGAGCCCAGACACUAA